ACCGCCUUCUGCUUUCCUAGGAGAGUUUCUUGAAUCGCAUUUGAACGCUAUAUACACUUGUGCACAACAGAGUACCUUGAACAUAUUAGUAACCUCUUCCCAGGUGAUGCUGCUGCUCCGGGGACCACACUUUGAGAACCACCGAACCAGAGGAUUGCAAUUUUCUCACAUUUCAAGCUCAGCUGGCUCAGGAGAUUUCUGCUGGAAUAGUUCUACCCGGUGUAUAGCAGGACAGUGCUGGGACACUGACCACAGGACCUACCUCUCCGCCAGACAGAGAGCCCACAGCCCAGGCGCUGUCCUGCCUCUUCCCCACCAGGACUGCCUCCCCCUGCAGCUCCCGCCUCUCUCAUUCCCAACGCACUUUUCAGGCUGAGGCCUUUCUGAGGUGUGCCCAUCAAAGUCCAAGCAGAAAGGAGAUGCUCGCUUGUUGAGGAAAGCCACAGUAUUUGCCUCAACUAUGAUGUCCAACUGAUCCAUAGUGCAUGCUGUAGUCGCCACCAGAUUCUCCAGGACCCGGCACUCCUCCCCCAACUGCUGAGUGUUGGAGACUGACAGCUCACAGCCAAGUUCCCCGCAUGGCUUGCCCUCCACUGAGGAGAAUCGCCUUGUCCAAGAUCACACCCCUUCCCAAGGUGGCCUCCAUCCAGUGCCAGUCAAGUAGGAGGUCAAUUAGGACACCCAACCAACCACCUGGCCCAAUUUGGAUAACUCUGAAGGAU
RNAcentral lists this long non-coding RNA (722 nucleotides) under Equus caballus (horse). Its description in RNAcentral is "lncRNA (ENSECAG00000029133.2)". The record is from RNAcentral. Lineage: Eukaryota; Metazoa; Chordata; Mammalia; Perissodactyla; Equidae.